RNAcentral lists this long non-coding RNA (646 nucleotides) under Bos taurus (domestic cattle). RNAcentral's name for it is "long non-coding RNA NONBTAT026412". The record is from RNAcentral. Lineage: Eukaryota; Metazoa; Chordata; Mammalia; Artiodactyla; Bovidae.
AAUUCCUUCAGAUCAGACACCCCACCAGCCCCCUCUGGCUUUUCAGGGAAGGCUGGAGAGACUAAUGAUAACGGGGAGCAGCCUUCUAACUACAUUUAUUCUCCUUGACCCCUGACACCAAUUCUCAUCCAGUUGGGAAUAGAAAAACGAAGGGUUCCUCAAGGGUGAACACAUUGUUUAGGUUUUCCAUCCCCAAUGUUCAGCUGAUCCAUCCCCCUUCUCCCUCUGGCCACUUUUACCCCAUCCUCAGACAAUGACAGCACCACUGCUCCUUUGCAAACUUGCAGUCUUCAACCUAACAUGUGCCCUCUCACCUGUGCCAGCCUGCUUCCAUCAGGACCUCUCAACCCCAUUUGAGAGGGACAGUACAGACUUUCUGGGAUACUAAGUCCACACACACACAAAAGGCUUAUGUCUUAACUGAAACUAAAGAACAGCCUAGAGCUACAGCUCUGAAUGUUUCUUGAUCACUGACAUAAACCCUCUCGAGUGUGCACCCCCACCAUGUGUGUCUAUCUGCUUACACAUCACAUGAAUGUACUAAUCUGAACUUUAUAACACACAUACACAAAUACAGUUCUCAAUAAAUAAGGCUAAAUUAAAAUUAAUAGGUUUUUAUUCAGAUGAUUAGUUAUUAUUUAUUGGG